GCCUGGAAGGCCAGUCGGAGCCAAGGUAGAUGGUUAAGCAAGAUAAUGCAAGACGACAGCAGCGGGGGUUGCGGCUGUGACGGACGCUGGCCCUCCAGGAGCCGUGGAGGGUUGGAGGGCUGAGUUCUAGAGAGGAAGGUUAUUAAAGCUGUAUCCAAGCCGAGGCUUGGAGAUGUAACGUAAUCUGUCCAAGGACCAGUGGCUAGCUUGUGGCAGAGCAAAGAUUAGAAACCAGGACGGUCUGAGCUCAAUAAAGGAGCCACCGGCCCUGGUCCACACUGUGCAACAGGGUGAUGGCCAGUAAAGCGUGACUGGAGAACUCCGCAGAAAACACCAAGAACGCUCCAUGAAUACUCUCUCUACUACAAAAUAGCCUAUCGCAGCAUCAAUCUUCCCAUCUCUCCCUCUGGUUCUAAAAAGGAUGGCGUCUCCUCGCCUCUGCAGACCUGGUCCCUUCCAUCUCUAUCAUGCCCUCCUUGCAGGUGGCAACUCUCCAGCUGCUGGAGAGCAGGUUGAGCCCCUGAAGACUCCUCCUCUGCGUGUUUCUGGGGCUCUAGCACACUGAAUGGGCCCCCUCUAAAAGGCCGACAGAAUUCAUCUCAUUUCUAUAUUCAUUUUACAAAAGGGAACUGAAACCAACAUAUCUUAAGACCUAAAAUUGAGAGGAAACGUGGUUCAGAGCCAACCUGUAGGGUGCCGUUGCCAGGGGGCGAAUCUCAUUGUUUUGUGCACCGCUGCUUCCCUACCACCUAGGACCGUGUCUAGUACAUAGUUGGAGCUCAAUAAGUAU
Long non-coding RNA from Sus scrofa (pig), 790 nucleotides. RefSeq lists it as uncharacterized. NCBI's taxonomy places the organism in Eukaryota, Metazoa, Chordata, Mammalia, Artiodactyla, Suidae. The record is from RefSeq and is a predicted model, not a curated record.